This is a long non-coding RNA of Athene cunicularia (burrowing owl), 897 nucleotides long. RefSeq lists it as uncharacterized. The record is from RefSeq and is a predicted model, not a curated record. The transcript is spliced from 4 exons. Lineage: Eukaryota; Metazoa; Chordata; Aves; Strigiformes; Strigidae.
GAGCGUGUGCUUACAUGUACUCUUUCUACUUGACAGAAGAUGAUGCAUAAAGACAUCUUGUCUCAACCAAGAACUCAAGAAUGUCUUAGAAGUGGGCACUCUGUCAGUGUCCUCCGUGUUCUGAUGCAGCUGCUAAGGGUGUGUAAUCAUCCUGAUCUUAUAAAUCCCCAGCUUCCAAGUUCUCCCUGUGUAUUAGACACGCUGGAGUUUACAGCUGCUUCUCUAGUGCUGAACAUGUUGGGAGAGGAUCUGUGGAAACCUGCAGACUAGUCUCUCUUUGAUGUGACAAGAUGGAAAACCAAAUACUUGCUAUGAAGCACAACUACUGCCAAAACUGAAAGUAACUAGAAAGCUUAUUGAAGAGAUCUACUGUUCUCCUUCAUCACCCAGACUUGAGCUCAAAUCAAAUAGAAUGACACUACUGUGCAAACUGGAGAUUUUGCUGGCAGUUCUGUUGGUCUCCAGGUACACCAUCUUACUGAAACUUCAGACCUGGGCUGCAGUGUCUGAGACAGCUUUUUACACAGGUCAUUCUUAACUGACUGAGCAGAUUUAGGCACCAUCACUGCCUGUUCUCUGGGUCUCUGCUGAGCCACUAGUAAAGGUCAUUAUUAACUGAGUCUUUUAUAUGAUACAGCCCUUUGGAACAGACUUUUCAGAUGGUUGGGGAUGUAGUGCAGUGUUUCAAGCACACUCUUUUUCUCAGGCCUUUUCUAAAUUCUUUACAUAUUGAUUUCAGCUGGGUACAGUACAAGUUUUUGCAUGGUUGAAUGGGAAGCAAUCAGUAUGAAGAAGACAGAAGAUUAUAUAGGAUAAUUAUUCUUUCAUGCUGUUCUAAUAACUUCUUCCACUGCUAAAAAUGAAUUGUGUGGGAAAAGAUCUUAUUCUGUGGUUGUU